CAAAGCUGAGAGACUCAAGACGUGGGUCUGGAGGUCCAGGUUUGGGGGCCGCCAUCUCCUAGGCAGAACGUGGAGCAAAGCCCGUCUCAAGUUUCGAGCCCUCACAAGGCUCAGGGAACCUUACCAGAGACGCGGCGUGGCCAUGAGAAUCUUGUUUUCCCCUGGGAGUCUGAGAGGAAGUGAGCAGAGCUAUGUAAACCGAGACAGGGCUCUGGGAAGAGGAGGCUCCCCAGAGAAACGCACCACAAACACAGGCGCCACAGGGUCACUUGUCAAUGAAAUGUUGGUUGUUUUUCCAAACUAGGAGAGAUAAGAGGUGGUGAAAUCUUCCCUCUGCUUCAGCCGUUUACUAUAAAUAUUUCUUUCAAAAUCAACCCAGAUGAGGCUGGGCCUUAAGGAGAAACCAGGUACAGGAGCCCUGUUGUCCCGUCUCUGGGAGCUGCUGUGUCCGGGGCUGGCCACAAAAGCACCAGGUGCCUCUGAGGCUGGUGAGACCCCUGAGACCCCUUCGGAAAGGAUGCCAUCCUAAGAGCAAAGGAGAAGCUGCCAGAGGAAAGUCUCAUCCCAAGUCUUGGGCAGUGGCCAUGAAGGCAGCAGACACCACAGUCACUCUCCCAAACUCAAGCAUGGCUGGGCAGCAGGAGAGGUUGGCAAAGGUCAUCUGACUGGGGACACCUCCAGAUUUGCCAGAGCAAAUCUCAGCACUUGCUACUUGAGGAACAGCUGAGGCAUGAGGCAGCCUCUCACCUGGGUACAUUUUUAUCCACCUUGGCCUCACAGGGGCCUCGGCCCUCCUGGUCACUGGCCUCCAGCCUCUUGUGGUCCAGGGGGAUCCAUUCCAAGAGCAGCUGCGGUUCCCCUCCUGCGCAGGACCAGGCAGCUGCCCAGGGAAGACCAGAGCUCGCUGGAGAAGUGAAGUGUCAUUUCCAGGGACCCAGGCCACCACGGAUAUUCUCCUCUCCUCACAAAGGUCCUAAACUGAUAGGUUCUCUUGGGCCACUGAGAACUGCUCUGAAGUCUGACUCUGUUUUUUGACUCGGUCAGGGAGAAACUGGCCAGGACGGUCUGCCUUACUAGUCGGUAGGUUGGGUGGUUUGCAAGUAAGUUACCCUUUGGCUAACUAUCCUUAGUACUGAAAUUUCCAAAAUUUCUUUUUGGAGAGGAUGGAUUCUCUCUCUCUCUGCCACAUAAACCCAGCCACAGUGCCAUGAAGAAGGUCCCAUCUGCUCACGGCUUCAGGCUUACAGUAUCGCGUACCCAAAUGUGCGGUGUCCAAGAACUUGGGUGUCAUGCUUCUCCUGCAGCUGAUUCAUCCCUGUGGACAUGAGUGAGUGCUGCGUAAGGAACGGGCUCACACCUCCUGAGCAUUCCAUAGGGACAUCACUUGUGACUGAAGAUCCCCUACCUCUCAAGCAUUCUCCCAUUCACCCCAAGUCCCAUGACUUAAUCUCUCCUUGAAAUCUCUCUCUCUCUCUCUUUUUUUUUUUUUUGCUUAAGAACCUUGCCCCAACCUCUUUAAUUUAAAGAGCUUCUUGCUUUGUUGACUCUUUCCCACCCACUUCUGCUUUGGGGUUAGAGGAACAUGGGGGGCUUCAUGUUAGGAAGGUGGGGAAAGAGAGGAAGACUCUGGAUUCUGGAAGAUGGUAGAUUGUCCCUCACCAGUCACCUUGUGACACACUCCCUCAACCCUGGGUCCUGAAACCCUUGUUCUUCAAUGUCAGUCUGCUGAGAUUUGAUGAGUUUAUGAGGCCCCUGCUUGCUCAAGAGUGUUCGUCACCUCACUGACCUCGAAAUAUAUUAAAAGGUCAUGUUCACUUGUC
Molecule: long non-coding RNA, 1820 nt
Organism: Mustela erminea (ermine)
Lineage: Eukaryota; Metazoa; Chordata; Mammalia; Carnivora; Mustelidae
Exons: 2
Source: RefSeq, a predicted model, not a curated record